Molecule: long non-coding RNA, 484 nt
Organism: Quercus lobata
Lineage: Eukaryota; Viridiplantae; Streptophyta; Magnoliopsida; Fagales; Fagaceae
Exons: 5
Source: RefSeq, a predicted model, not a curated record
UUGUAGACUGUAUUGUUGAUCUCCGCGAGUAUGAUGUUCCUUAUCAUGUUCGAUUUGCCAUUGAUAAUGAUGUACGAUGUGGGCAAUGGUAUGACGUUAGUGUAUCCAGUACUGGUCUUAUGCUGGAAAAGAGGACAGAUCUUUUGCAACGUGCUGAAGUGCAUGUUUGUGCAUUUGAUAUUGAGACUACAAAGCUUCCUUUGAAAUUUCCUGAUGCUGAAUACGAUUUAAUAAUGAUGAUUUCGUACAUGGUUGAUGGACAAGGGUACCUGAUUAUUAACAGAGAGCUUUCCUGAUAAGAAAAGAGUUGGGGGAGAUAACGUGGAUAGUUCCUUUGAAGCCUCAGACCGAAUAAAGAUGGAUAUGGGGCACUUAGAGGACCAUAUCAAAACCAAUAAGAAGCAAUCCCCUAAGGCUGAAGUUCAAAAUUCUUUAAAGCAAGAGAUUCUACAACUUGAGAAGAGAUUACAAGACCAAUUUGAGG